UCGGGUGUGGUGUAUGGCGCACGCUCCCUUGUGUUCAACGCUCCAAAGACGACGGAAGGGAGAGAUCCGGGUUCGAUUCCCGGCGCCCGAG
Molecule: non-coding RNA, 91 nt
Organism: Mycena leptocephala
Lineage: Eukaryota; Fungi; Basidiomycota; Agaricomycetes; Agaricales; Mycenaceae
Source: the annotation of a GenBank genome assembly